This 1269-nucleotide long non-coding RNA is filed under the name Gadus morhua (Atlantic cod). RNAcentral describes it as "lncRNA (ENSGMOG00000024739.1)". Lineage: Eukaryota; Metazoa; Chordata; Actinopteri; Gadiformes; Gadidae. The record is from RNAcentral.
ACGUAGACAUAUUGGCUCUAACACAAUUUGUUUGGUUCAUUUAAAGCAACACCAACCACGGCUGGACCCAUUACAGCUACACUAGCUCAUUCAACUACACCUGGACCCACUACAAUUAAAACUACACCUGGACCCAGUACAACUACACUUGGACCCACUACCACCAUCACUACACCUGGAACCACUACCAUUGCAGCUACACCUGAUCUCACUACCACUUCAACUACACCUGGAACCACUACCACGACAACUCAAUCUGUACCAACUACAACUACACCUGUACCCAUUGCAGCUACUACACCUGACUCUACAGAGUCUCCUGCGGCAGGCGAAGGCACUUUGGAUUUAAAUUUCAGUUUGAGACGCACAUUUCAAAGCUCUUUGUCGGAUUCUACUUCCCCAGCAUAUCGGGUGCUGGCUAAUGAAGUCACAAGAGAGGUCAACAGAGGCUUCAGAUCCGUGUUUCCACGCACGUAUUCCCGAUGUCUAAUACGGUCUUUCAGUAAUGGCUCAAUUCGUGUGAAUAUGACUCUGGUAUACCAUAACCAAUCAGUGGUUCCAAAUGGAUUGACGGCAGAACAGGUAUUCAUGAGUGUCGUAACCAUGGGCAUCACCAACCUCAACGUGAAUGUUUCUACAAUUAACGCAACAACAAUCACCUCAGGAGGACCCACUCUGAAAAUGACCAUCACAACUGCAUUCUGUUUGCCCUUCUUCUUGACGGUCAUCAAAGGAAUGUUGUCCAGUACAUAGAACCCCCAUGUCUUGUAUAAUGUGGAAUGUUGAGUUACUUUUUUAUUAGAAUAUAUUGUUUUUAUUAUUCCAAUAACCAAUGAAAUCAAGAACCAGUACUUCCCCACAUACCAGCUUGAGUUGGAGAGUGAGUUCAAACAACGCUUUAAACUUUAUUUAAGCUUAAUUGUUUUUCUGUAGCAGGGUCUACUGAAAGGGGCACAGGGGCACAAAUAGCCUAGCGCUUCCCAUAAGUCGCCCUAAGAGGUCUUAUAGAGACCUAAUAGAGAACUGAACAUAUUUACUUGGACUAUCUCAGACCUGUGGGACUGUGUGUACUAGAGUUACUCUUAUAGAACACUGCAUAGAUGCACUUUUGUAUGUGCGAUAUCUCGGCUGCUAUCAAAUGGUCAUAUCUUCAAAUUUAAUAUGUUAUAGUUCAAUAUGUAUUGUUUAAAGGUUACUGCAAAUAACUAUAUUUUAUUUAUAUAUUUAGCCUCUUAUAGUUUGCGUUAUGUUUUGGCACUGAUUCUGAUG